AUAGCGAAAUCGCAUGAUUAUGCUAUCAAAGAUUUAUCACUCAAAGAUGGGCUCGCGUCUGAUUAGAUAGUUGGUGAGGUAACGGCUCACCCAAGUCGACGAUCAGUAGCCGGACUGAGAGGUUGAAACGGCCACAUUGGGACUGAGACACGGCCCCAGACUCCUACGGGAGGCCAGCAGUGGGGAAUAUUGCACAAUGGGGGAAACCCUGAUGCAGCGAUGCCGCGUGGAGGAAGAAGGUUUUCGGAUUGUAAACUCCUGUCUUAAAGGACGAUAAUGACGGUACUUUAGGAGGAAGCUCCGGCUAACUACGUG
Molecule: ribosomal RNA, 315 nt
Filed under: uncultured bacterium
Lineage: Bacteria
Description: bacterial SSU rRNA
Rfam family: Bacterial small subunit ribosomal RNA
Source: RNAcentral